UCGGUAACGUCAAGACCCGCAGCUAUUAACCACAGGCUUUCUUCCCGACUGAAAGUGCUUUACAACCCGCAGGCCUUCUUCACACACGCGGCAUUGCUGGAUCAGGCUUUCGCCCAUUGUCCAAUAUUCCCCA
RNAcentral lists this ribosomal RNA (133 nucleotides) under uncultured bacterium. RNAcentral's name for it is "partial 16S ribosomal RNA". The record is from RNAcentral.